CGCAAGUGUUUUUAAGAAAAAAAAUCUCGGAGGCACUCGUAUAUUUGAAAACAAAUUAUUUUGGUUUUGAAACUUGUUGUGGAUGGAUCAGCCACGGGAAUGUGAAAAAUAUCAGCAUUGCAGGUGGAUUGGUGCAGGAGCUUUUGGUAAGGUGUACCGGGCUAUCGAUACCGAAAUCAACUGCGUUGUAGCUUUGAAGCUUACAGGGCUUGAAGGUGAUGGUAAUGAUGGAAGUGUACCGGCUGUGUCACUCAGAGAGAUGUCCGUCCUGAAGGAGAUGGACCAUGAAAACAUUAUUAAGUUGUUGGAUGUGGUGCACCAAGAUGGCAAGAGAUUGACUCUAGUUUUUGAAUUUAUGGAUGGAGAUUUGCUCGAAUUUAUGAAAGCACGUUCAGAUCGUUUCAGUGAUUCAAAUCUAAUCAAAAGACUCCUUGGUCAAUUUCUCUCUGCUGUUGACCAUUGUCAUUCUCGAAGGGUUUCCAUCGAGAUUUGAAACCAGCAAAUUUGCUAGUAAAUCAGAAAAAUUACACAUUGAAAGUAGCUAAUUUCGGAUUGGCUAAAGCAUUCAGCAUUCCACAAAAAAAAUACACGCCUCAGUGCACAACGCUUGCGUACGAAAAGUAUUGCUGGGAUCAACAGAACAUUAUGUUGCCGCUGAUAUGUGAUCGGUAGGAUGCAUAUUUGCUGAGAUGGUGAAUCAGGAGUGAUUGUUUGAUACCGUGAAUUUGAAGAGGGAUCCUGAUAGAGAUUUUAAGAAGGAGCAAAUGAGCUUAAUUUUCAGUAUACUGGGUACUCCAGAGCAGGACUCGUUUAUUGGAAUCACUUUUCCUGAUUGUCUAUCUAAGUUCCCAGAGCAUCAGUCUCCGGAACUGAGAGUUGUUGUUCCAACACUUGGAUCAACUGGAAUCGACCUUCUUUCGAAAAUGCAAUGCUUCGAUCCUGAAAGAAGAAUAACCGCUGCUGCUGCGCUUCGUCAUGAGUACUUCCGGGAUAUUGCAGGACAGUAAGAAUUGCAAAUUGAAUUAACUGGACUGGUAAUUCCUCACUCUUAUCUUUUCUAGUUUGAAUGUUGGAAAACUUGUUCUUCGUGCAUAUGUUGUGUGUACAGUUCGUAGGUGAAUGAGGGGAUGGAUUUUGAUCUCAAAGUUCAGUAGUCAAUUGUGUUUCAUGUUCAAGGAUCAUGGUAUGAAAUAUAAAAAUACAAGUCAGCUUGUUCCCGGCUA
Molecule: long non-coding RNA, 1223 nt
Organism: Populus euphratica (Euphrates poplar)
Lineage: Eukaryota; Viridiplantae; Streptophyta; Magnoliopsida; Malpighiales; Salicaceae
Exons: 8
Source: RefSeq, a predicted model, not a curated record